GAAGUGCGAAAAGUGUCAUGACUUGCAGAUUCCCGAGAGCUGACAAAUCUCUGAAUGCAAAUGGCGGACCGGUAAAAACGGCCAUGUAUUGCAGAGUGUAGUUGUUCCUACUCUUCAUCCCCCACAUCUGUGUACACCUCCUGAUACAAUGUGGUGUUUGGGAUCUGCGCUUGCAAUGUAUAUCUCUACACGUUGCGAGUGUUGAAUUGGAGUGUCUACAUGGGUUCUCAGCAAUGGGAAUCACGUGCAGACAGCUUCGCAUUAUCUACACCAUGUGAUGUGUAUUGUGAAGUUGAAUGCUCUCUCCAAUGUUUUUAUACACCUACCUCUGCAAUGCAAGAGAACCCGCUGAACUUAA
Molecule: unclassified non-coding RNA, 358 nt
Filed under: uncultured fungus
Lineage: Eukaryota; Fungi
Description: sequence contains ITS1
Rfam family: 5.8S ribosomal RNA (bases 1-101)
Source: RNAcentral